GACGGUACUUGAUGAAUAAGCCACGGCUAAUUCCGUGCCAGCAGCCGCGGUAAUACGGGAGUGGCAAGCGUUAUCCGGAAUUAUUGGGCGUAAAGCGUCCGCAGGCGGUCUUGUAAGUCUGUCGUUAAAGCGUGGAGCUUAACUCCAUUUCAGCGAUGGAAACUGUAAGACUAGAGUGUGGUAGGGGCAGAGGGAAUUCCCGGUGUAGCGGUGAAAUGCGUAGAUAUCGGGAAGAACACCAGUGGCGAAGGCGCUCUGCUGGGCCAUAACUGACGCUCAUGGACGAAAGCCAGGGGAGCGAAAGGGAUUAGAUACCCCCGUAGUCCUGGCCGUAAACGAUGAACACUAGGUGUCGGGGGAAUCGACCCCCUCGGUGUCGUAGCCAACGCGUUAAGUGUUCCGCCUGGGAGUACGCACGCAAGUGUGAAACUCAAAGGAAUUGACGGGGGCCCGCACAAGCGGUGGAGUAUGUGGUUUAAUUCGAUGCAACGCGAAGAACCUUACCAGGGUUUGACAUCCUGCGAAUCUCUUGGAAACGAGAGAGUGCCUUCGGGAACGCAGUGACAGGUGGUGCAUGGCUGUCGUCAGCUCGUGUCGUGAGAUGUUGGGUUAAGUCCCGCAACGAGCGCAACCCACGUCGUUAGUUGCCAGCAUUUAGUUGGGCACUCUAGCGAGACCGCCGGCGAUAAACCGGAGGAAGGCGUGGAUGACGUCAAGUCAUCAUGCCCCUUACAUCCUGGGCUACACACGUACUACAAUGCUACGGACAAAGGGCAGCAAACUCGCGAGAGCUAGCAAAUCCCAUAAACCGUGGCUCAGUUCAGAUCGUAGGCUGCAACUCGCCUACGUGAAGGAGGAAUCGCUAGUAAUCGCAGGUCAGCAUACUGCGGUGAAUACGUUCCCGGGCCUUGUACACACCGCCCGUCACACCAUGGAAGUUGGCCACGCCCGAAGCCGUUACUCCAACCCUUGUGGAGGAGGAUGU
This 985-nucleotide ribosomal RNA is filed under the name uncultured cyanobacterium. Its description in RNAcentral is "bacterial SSU rRNA". It matches the Rfam family "Bacterial small subunit ribosomal RNA", at positions 471 to 1456 of the family's 1533-position model. The record is from RNAcentral. Lineage: Bacteria; Bacillati; Cyanobacteriota.